GACGAACGCUGGCGGCGUGCUUAACACAUGCAAGUCGAACGGAAAGGCCCUGCUUUUGUGGGGUGCUCGAGUGGCGAACGGGUGAGUAACACGUGAGUAACCUGCCCUUGACUUUGGGAUAACUUCAGGAAACUGGGGCUAAUACCGGAUAGGAGCUCCUGCUGCAUGGUGGGGGUUGGAAAGUUUCGGCGGUUGGGGAUGGACUCGCGGCUUAUCAGCUUGUUGGUGGGGUAGUGGCUUACCAAGGCUUUGACGGGUAGCCGGCCUGGGAGGGUGACCGGCCACCUUAGGACUGAGAUACGGACCAGACUCCUACGGGAGGCAGCAGUGGGGAAUAUUGCACAAUGGGCGGAAGCCUGAUGCAGCAACGCCGCGUGCGGGAUGACGGCCUUCGGGUUGUAAACCGCUUUCGCCUGUGACGAAGCGUGAGUGACGGUAAUGGGUAAAGAAGCACCGGCUAACUACGUG
RNAcentral lists this ribosomal RNA (468 nucleotides) under uncultured bacterium. RNAcentral's name for it is "partial 16S ribosomal RNA". It matches the Rfam family "Bacterial small subunit ribosomal RNA", at positions 28 to 507 of the family's 1533-position model. The record is from RNAcentral.